AAGAACUAUACGAUAAAUCUUCUCUUUAUCGUAUACUAGCAUAGUUCUAGGGACUUCAUCACAGUACAAGAGUUCAAGAAAGAUGUCACUUUAUGAUAAAAAAUAUCAAAAUAACUAUUAUUCAAUAAUCAAUAAUUCAUAUACAAGGAUGAACUCAAUUGUCACAUGAUUGGUUUUAGGACAUAAUUUCCAAUAGCCAUAGAAUCGAAUUUGAUUAGAUCAAACCCAGAACCUAUUGUAAAAGCAUCAUUAAGG
RNAcentral lists this long non-coding RNA (255 nucleotides) under Elaeis guineensis (African oil palm). Its description in RNAcentral is "long non-coding RNA (EGUI_LNC055460)". Lineage: Eukaryota; Viridiplantae; Streptophyta; Magnoliopsida; Arecales; Arecaceae. The record is from RNAcentral.